UGUAAAAAAAGGACAUAAGAUCUUCUGUAAGCAGAGAAAAUGAAUUAGUAAUUUGUUCAUGCCCAUACAAAUCUAAAUCCAAAGCAACAUGAGUUUGAAUUAUCUCUUGUUGGAAAAAUUCCAUAUAUUUUUGGGCUUGAGUUACUGACCAUUUUAUUCCUCUCACUUGUUCUGCAGUAUUUAUUCCCAUAUUUAUGGGGUGUCUAGGCUUGAUAGACUGCCAGUCUAGGGAAAGCUUGGCACUCAAGGGGAGAUGGUCGCUCAUUUGGACGUUUUCUAUUUUAAAAUAAGAAAAAAUUGGGAAUAGAUCUCUGGAAACAAUAAAAUAAUCGAGAACACUAUUUGUAAGUGUGCUCAAAUGAGUAAACUCACCCGGAAUAUCCGGGGGACAAUUUCCGUUUAAAAUUAUCAAAUUCAAACGUAAAAUCAGUUGAUAAAGAAGGGUUCCCGCUUCGUUAACCCUAUUAUCUUUCGAUUUUCUCUGUAUAUGGGGGGAGAAAUCCAAGUUCUGGUGAUCAGGUAUGACCCACCAUUUGGCCUUGCCUAGCGCUUCCCAGUUUGCAGCUGUACGAGCAUUAAAAUCACCUCCCAUGACUGCUGAAAUAUUUGGGAACUUAGUGUAACAGAAAGCUAGGUGUUCUUCAAGUGUUUCCCAUUUGGAAUGGAGGUCCACUACCUGCCCCCCAGGGGGGAAAUAGACAUUUGUUACCAGUAAUUCAAAUUUCCCUCCUGAAAUCAGUCCUGUAAUCGCGUAAGGAGAGGAAGAUUUAACAAGUGUAAGUUUUGCUUGCAAUUUGAGGGAAAUGGCUAUUACCAAACCUCCCCUAGGGCGUCCACCUUUAAGAGAGGGGCUAGCUGGGAGCAAAAUGGUAUCGUAUCCAUUUAUGUCAAUCGCCUCCUCUUCCCAAGUUUCUUGUAGGAGAAUUACUUGAAAUAAAUUAACAAAUUUUAAGAAGUCUGGAUCAGAUUUCUUCCCCCUCCAUCCCGCAAUAUUCCAGCAUAAAAAUGACAUCGAGGAGUGGUUGGGUUGGUCGUUAGGUAGUCAGAUCAUGUGGGAAUGGGAUUCUAACUUUGGGGGAGCUUCAGCUUCAAAAAAAUCAGUAAUUUUCCUUUGAGAAGGUGGCAAUCGUGCUAUACAUCCCAACUGUUUGAAUUUAUUUGGGUGGUUUGGCUGUAAAGUCGUGCCACUCGUCUCGCUAAAGGCAGAUGUUUGGCCUAAGAUAGUCGACUUUUCAGAGCCAGAUGGUAGAAUUAUGGGGGUAUUACUUAGAGAGAGCCAAAUUAAGUCAGCAGGUAUCGUGCCACUAGUUGAGUGAUCAUUAGUUGUUUGGAUAAUUUUGUUAAUACGACCUGUCGGGUCUUCAACCAGAUCAUUCUUCGGGACUAAAAAUAAAAUGGAGUCGUCUCUCAUUUGUUGGUCUGGUUCAGCUGGUUCUGUUACCGGUUCGAUGGUAUCUAUGGAUUUAUUCAACUUGCACACAUUAGAAGAAAGUGGGUUAAUAAAAUUACAAGUAAGUGGACCCAUAUGGGACACUUUACAUGGAGAACCUAAUUCAGAUUCGUUAAGUUCCCUCAUUUUGUGUCCCAAGCAGAUGUUGUAGUCAUAUUUGCCUUAGAGAAGGGGUGCAUAAUAGAUGGGUCUGGUGAUGGGGUUUCCGCCUCCAGAGUAUGGAAGAGUGGAUUCAUCUCCGCAACAACCAGUUGGCUGGUAGGGGUGGGUGCCUUCCCAACCCACAGGUCCAGUUCUUGGUGGUAUAAGCGUGGGACAGAAUCUGAACCACAGUCUCUAUCAAGCAUAUUUUGUUUAGGUAAUCUCAGCUGUUCCUCCGUCACUUUUGUCAGGCAGAAAUAAAGGGAAUCAAUUUUAUGGAGUAUUUCUUUCUGGACUUCUUGUGGGAGAACACUAUAAGAAUGGAGUAAGUUAUUAUCAAAGCUAUCGAGGUCGAUUCCCUUAUUCUCCGCAUACCUGGGCCCAAGGAAGUCCAACCUCUGAGAGUCCUUGGUAACCAGACCAGUAGGAUGUUUGGAGAUGUCCUCCGCAGAGUUUAUAUCAAUUAGAACAUGUUGAUCAAUCUCAUGUUGAGUUUUUGGCAAAUUUACAAUAUGGGGGAUAAGUGGAAUUGGAGGUGCUUCAUUCUUAAAGUACCUUGAGAUUCUUAUACCACUCGUCUCCAGGUGUUCUCUACGUUUGUACACUAGUUUUGCCAAUCUCCCCUCGUAGAAUGAAACCACCGCUCUGGCAAGGAAUCCGGUGAAGUAUAGAUAUUCCACUUGGGCCAAAUCAGUAGGGUUAUUAAGUAUACCCAGCAUAUAGAUCUUUAAAAGGUUCAAUAGAUGGGCUUUACGCUCUUCUUGUGACAGGAGUCCUGGGGGUUUAGGAUAAUUUGAUAAAACGAGUUUGUUUCAGUACAGCACCAGAUUCCAGUUUUUAUUUGUUAGAUUUGUCUGAUUUCUCUUCUUAGAAGGAUUGGUUUCAUCUACAGAUAGAAUGUAAGACCAUGGAUCUUGGAUCAAAGUGUCUUGCUUGGAGUUAGGUGUUGGGGUAAGUGUUAAGAGUUCCAAGCAAUCCAUCGCAGCGUCAGGGCAAGGGUUUAUAGAGCGUUCUUGCUUAGAAUAUUUCCUGGUUAGAAGUUUCUCAGUGUUCCCACUGUUCUCGGUUAUUGGGAUACUCUUGAGAAGAUUAAAAAGCUUUUUAAAAACCAUUUUUUUGUAACGCAUUGCCUUAAAAUUUUUAACAUUUCUGCUCUUUUUUACCCUUAUGCGCCUCUUUUUCAAGGCAGUAGCCCUACAAGAUCUCUUGGCAUUCCUUGGUGGUCUGUUUUUGCAGGUGGUAGGAAGGAAGUUGUUAUUACUUUCCAAUUCUACAGUCACCCCGCUGGAUUCCCUACAGAGAGUUUUGCAAGUAUCCAUCAUUAUAGUGAGGAUUUUUGUACAGGUGGCCAGAUGGGAUUUUAUAUUUUCGAUAUCCUCAGUUAGAAGCACAAGCCGUUUGAUAACUGAUAAAUCCUCAUCCUCAUUUGUCUCAAGUUGGAAGCAGGAGUCUCUUGAUGUUUUAGGGUUUCCCCGAAGACAUCUCUGCAAUUUGUUUUAACAUUAGUUCUUCCACUUCUCGGACUCGGGAUGGUUCAGGAGAAGCUUGGGAUUUAAGUCUCUGUUUUGGGAGUAGUUCGGUGACUGUACCAAUUGUGUUUGGAUUUACUUUGGGCUUUAUUGGCCCUUUGUUGUGGCAUUCUUCUACACAAUCCUCUCUCUGCACAGCCGAUCCUUCAGUGCAGGAGGGAGACGUUUCAGUUUCCUGCUGAAUCUCACUCGGCUUGACUUCACCCCUAUUCUUAAAGGGUCGAGUGCUUUUUGUUUGAGCUCCCUUUAGGGUAGCUCUUUUAGAGAGAGGUCUUAGAUCACUCCGAUAAAAGCCUGGUGUUCUACAGCCACUCCUGGUCGUCACCAUUAUUAAUCUCGCGAAGGUCAAGUUGGUAAAAAUCUCACCUCGGUUCAUUAGCUCCGUCGGAUGUUGCAGGAGGGUUCUCUGCGGGACUACUUCCAAGGUAGGCAGGUAAUUGAGACCAAUUCACUGAGCUCCUUUGCCCUGGUGGUGGAGGCCGCGGCGGGGUCAACCUUUCGGGCUGUGUCACCCUCCUAGCCCAGUGGGAAGGCAUCCAAAUAACAAGGAGGUAAAACCAUGAGAUGAUAAAAUAGGGC
Molecule: non-coding RNA, 3699 nt
Organism: Podarcis lilfordi (Lilford's wall lizard)
Lineage: Eukaryota; Metazoa; Chordata; Lepidosauria; Squamata; Lacertidae
Source: the annotation of a GenBank genome assembly